AUGAAUCACGCGCCACAGCCCUUUAUAAAUACUCUUCCAAAUUCUUCACCCUUUUCACUUUCCCCUUCAAUUCCAAUUCCUCCAAAACAGAACGGAAAAGCGUUCCGUUUUGAUUCUGAUCGCGAUUGCUGCUUCCAUGGUUGUUUUACCGUUGAUGCUUCCGCCGCUUCCUCCGCCGCCGCUGGUUCUUCUUUUCUUUCCCGUAGGGAUUAUGGCUGCGCUUGUAGUGCUCGCUUUCUCGCCGUCGGAAAACGUUAA
Molecule: non-coding RNA, 258 nt
Organism: Vicia faba (fava bean)
Lineage: Eukaryota; Viridiplantae; Streptophyta; Magnoliopsida; Fabales; Fabaceae
Source: the annotation of a GenBank genome assembly